CCUACGGGAGGCAGCAGUGAGGAAUAUUGGUCAAUGGGCGCGAGCCUGAACCAGCCAAGUAGCGUGAAGGAUGACUGCCCUACGGGUUGUAAACUUCUUUUAUAAAGGAAUAAAGUGCGGCACGUGUGCCUUUUUGUAUGUACUUUAUGAAUAAGGAUCGGCUAACUCCGUUCCAGCAGACGCGGUAAUACGGUGUGUCCGAGCGUUACCCGGAUUUAUUGGGUUGAAAGGGAGCGUAGAUGGGUUGUUAAGUCAGUUGUGAAAGUUUGCGGCUCAACCGUAAAAUUGCAAUUGAUACUGGCAGGCUUGAGUACAGUUGAGGUAGGCGGAAUUCGUGGUGUAGCGGUGAAAUGCUUAGAUAUCACGAAGAACUCCGAUUGCGAAGGCAGCUUACUAAACUGCAACUGACAUUGAUGCUCGAAAGUGUGGGUAUCAAACAGGAUUAGAUACCCCUGUAGUC
Molecule: ribosomal RNA, 460 nt
Filed under: uncultured bacterium
Lineage: Bacteria
Description: partial 16S ribosomal RNA
Rfam family: Bacterial small subunit ribosomal RNA
Source: RNAcentral